GGCUGAAAUUCGCCUUCAUGAAGCCGGAAUUGCUAGUAAUGGCAGGUCAGCAUACUGCCGUGAAUACGUUCCCGGGCCUUGUACACACCGCCCGUCACACCAUGAGAGUUGGAGAUACCCGAAGCCUGUGAGCUAACAAACGAGGCAGCAGUCGAAGGUAGAAUCAAUGAGUUGGGGUGAAGUCGUAACAAGGUAAC
This 197-nucleotide ribosomal RNA is filed under the name uncultured bacterium. Its description in RNAcentral is "partial 16S ribosomal RNA". It matches the Rfam family "Bacterial small subunit ribosomal RNA", at positions 1303 to 1500 of the family's 1533-position model. The record is from RNAcentral.